AUAUACUAUAUACUAAAGCAGAGGCAUAAUUAUAUGCAGAUAGCAUACAACCAUAGGCAUAUGCGAUUUUAUAUGCAGAUAGCAUACAACCAGAGGCCAUUGUGCCGGCGACGCAUCAUUUUAAUUUUUGCCUUAUCAACUUUUGAUGGUAGGAUCAUGGCCUACCAUGGUGGUGACGAGUGAUGGGGAAUAGGGUUUGAUUUUGGAGAGGAAGCCUGAAAAAUAGCUACCAUAUCCAAGGAAGACAGCAGGCACGCAAAUUACCCAAUCCUGACAUGGGGAAUAGUGACAAUAAAUAACAAUACCGAGCUUAAUGAGUCUGGUAAUUGGAAUGAGUAUAAUCUAAAUCCCUUAAUGAGGAUCCAUUGGAGGAAAAGUCUGGUGCCAACAACCAUGGUAAUUCCAGCUCUAAUAGCAUUUAUCUAAGUUGUUGCAGUUAAAAAACUCGUAGUUGUACUUUUGGAUGGGCCGGACGGUCCGCCUAUGGUGUUCACCGAUCGUCUUAUCCCUUCUAUCGGCAAUGCGUUCCUGACCUUAACUGGCUAGGUUGUGCCUCCGGUGUUAUUACUUUAAAGAAAUUAGAGUGCUCAAAGCAAGCCUAUGCUCUGUAUACAUUGGCAUGGGAUAACAUUAUAGGUUUUCGGUCCUAUUAUGUUAGCUUUCGAGAUUGGAGUAAUGAUUAACAGGGAUAGUUGGGGGCAUUCAUAUUUCUUAGUUAGAGGUGAAAUUCUUCGAUUUAUGAAAUACAAACAACUGCAAAAGCAUUUGCCAAGGAUUUUUUCACUAAUCAAGAACGAAAAUUGGGGGCUCGAAGAAGAUCAAAUACGUCCUAGUCUCAACCAUAAACGAUGCCGACUAGGGAUCGAUGGAUGUUGCUUUUAGGACUCUGCUUGCACCUUAUGAGAAAUCAAAGUUUUUGGGUUUCGGGCGGAGUAUGGUCGCAAGGCUGAAACUUAAAGGAAUUGACGUAAGGGCACCACCAGGAGUGGUGCCUGUGGCUUAAUUUGACUCAACACGGGGAAACUUACCAGGUCCAAACUUAGUAAGGUUGAAAAACUGAGAGCUCUUUCUUAAUUCUAUGGGUGGUGGUGCAUGGACGUUCUUAGUUGGUGGAGUAAUUUGUCUGAUUAAUUCCAUUAACAAACGAUACCUCUGCCUGCUAACAAGAUAUGCAGAGAUAUCCCUUUGCGGCCAUCUUCUUAGAGGGACUACGACCUUUUAGGCCACAGAAGUUUGAGGCAAUAAUAGGUCUAUGAUGCCCUUAGACUUUCUGGGCCGUACGUGCGCUAUACUGAUGUAUUCAACGAGUUUAUAACCUUAGCCGAAAGGCUUGGGUAAUCUUGUAAAUUUUAUUAUGAUGGGGUUAGAUCAUUGAAAUUGUUGUUAUUCAACGAGAAAUUCCUAGUAUGUGUGAGUCAUCAGCUGCAUUGACUGCAUCCCUGUUCUUUGUACACACAACCCGUCGCUCCUUCCGAUUGAAUAAUCCAGCAAAAUAUUCAGAUCGCAGCAACAUGGGCGGUUCAUUGCCUGCGACUUCGCGAGAAGUACAUUGAACCUUAUCAUUUAGAGGAAAGAUAAGUCCUAAUAAGGUUUCCAUAGGUGAACCUGCGGAAG
This 1614-nucleotide ribosomal RNA is filed under the name Capsicum baccatum. RNAcentral's name for it is "bacterial SSU rRNA". It matches the Rfam family "Eukaryotic small subunit ribosomal RNA". The record is from RNAcentral. Lineage: Eukaryota; Viridiplantae; Streptophyta; Magnoliopsida; Solanales; Solanaceae.